CCGCCGGCGACCGGCGCACGGGUGAGCAACACGUAUGCAACCUGGCCGUGACAGAUGGAUAACCGGGAGAAAUCCCGCCUAAUACAACAUAAUGCCGGGAGGGGACAUCCCCUGCCGGCCAAAGGGGGCGACCCCGGUCACGGAUGGGCAUGCGGCGCAUUAGGUAGUUGGUGGGGCAACGGCCCACCAAGCCGACGAUGCGUAGGGGUUCUGAGAGGAAGGUCCCCCACAUUGGAACUGAGACACGGUCCAAACUCCUACGGGAGGCAGCAG
RNAcentral lists this ribosomal RNA (273 nucleotides) under uncultured bacterium. RNAcentral describes it as "partial 16S ribosomal RNA". It matches the Rfam family "Bacterial small subunit ribosomal RNA", at positions 85 to 354 of the family's 1533-position model. The record is from RNAcentral.